This 1152-nucleotide ribosomal RNA is filed under the name Eriovixia sp. 66 DD-2019. Its description in RNAcentral is "SSU rRNA". It matches the Rfam family "Eukaryotic small subunit ribosomal RNA", at positions 622 to 1802 of the family's 1831-position model. The record is from RNAcentral. Lineage: Eukaryota; Metazoa; Arthropoda; Arachnida; Araneae; Araneidae.
AAAAGCUCGUAGUUGGAUCUCAGCUCCGGCCGGACGUCCGCCUACCGGUGGUUACUGUUCGUCGCCGAGCGUUCAGGCGGUUAUUCUUGAUGAUCUUCACCGGUUGUCUCGGGUGACCGCCAAGUUUACUUUGAAAAAAUUAGAGUGCUCAAAGCAGGCGCGACGCCUGAAUAAUUGUGCAUGGAAUAAUGGAAUAGGACCUCGGUUCUAUUUUGUUGGUUUUCGGAACACGAGGUAAUGAUUAAGAGGGACAGACGGGGGCAUUCGUAUUGCGACGCUAGAGGUGAAAUUCUUGGACCGUCGCAAGACGAACUACUGCGAAAGCAUUUGCCAAGAAUGUUUCCAUUAAUCAAGAACGAAAGUUAGAGGUUCGAAGGCGAUCAGAUACCGCCCUAGUUCUAACCAUAAACGAUGCCAGCCAGCGAUCCGGCUGUGUUCCUCAAAUGACACGCCGGGCAGCUUCCGGGAAACCAAAGCUUUUGGGUUCCGGGGGAAGUAUGGUUGCAAAGCUAAAACUUAAAGGAAUUGACGGAAGGGCACCACCAGUAAUGGAGCCUGCGGCUUAAUUUGACUCAACACGGGAAAACUUACCCGGCCCGGACACAGGAAGGAUUGACAGAUUAAGAGCUCUUUCUUGAUUCUGUGGGUGGUGGUGCAUGGCCGUUCUUAGUUGGUGGGGCGACUUGUCUGGUUAAUUCCGAUAACGAACGAGACUCUAGCCUACUAAAUAGACGUUCCCAUCCUCUUUUGUGGGACGUUCUUCUUAGAGGGACUAGCGGCGUCUAGCCGCACGAGACAGAGCAAUAACAGGUCUGAGAUGCCCUUAGAUGUCCGGGGCCGCACGCGCGCUACAUUGAAGGAAUCAGCGUGUGCUUUCCCUUUCCGAAAGGAAUGGGUAACCCGUUGAACCUCCUUCGUGCUGGGGAUUGGCCUAUGUAAUUACGGCCAUGAACGAGGAAUUUCCAGUAAGCACGAGUCAUCAGCUCGUGUUGAUUACGUCCCUGCCCUUUGUCCACACCGCCCGUCGCUACUACCGAUUGAAUGAUUUAGUGAGGUCUUCGGACUGGCGCUCGGAUUGGCCUUCGCGGUCGAGCCGGUGUGCCGGAAAGAUGACCAAACUGAUCAUUAGAGGAGUAAAGUCGUACAAGGUUU